RNAcentral lists this ribosomal RNA (460 nucleotides) under uncultured bacterium. RNAcentral's name for it is "partial 16S ribosomal RNA". It matches the Rfam family "Bacterial small subunit ribosomal RNA", at positions 338 to 795 of the family's 1533-position model. The record is from RNAcentral.
CCUACGGGAGGCAGCAGUGAGGAAUAUUGGUCAAUGGACGAGAGUCUGAACCAGCCAAGUAGCGUGAAGGAUGACUGCCCUAUGGGUUGUAAACUUCUUUUAUAUGGGAAUAAAAUGUUCCACGUGUGGGAUUAUGUAUGUACCAUAAGAAUAAGGAUCGGCUAACUCCGUGCCAGCAGCCGCGGUAAUACGGAGGAUCCGAGCGUUAUCCGGAUUUAUUGGGUUUAAAGGGAGCGUAGGUGGAUUGGUAAGUCAGUUGUGAAAGUUUGCGGCUCAACCGUAGAAUUGCAGUUGAAACUGGCAGUCUUGAGUACAGGAGAGGUAGGCGGAAUUCGUGGUGUAGCGGUGAAAUGCUUAGAUAUCACGAAGAACUCCGAUUGCGAAGGCAGUUCACUGGACUGCAACUGACGCUGAGGCACGAAAGUGUGGGUAUCGAACAGGAUUAGAUACCCGGGUAGUC